Molecule: ribosomal RNA, 253 nt
Filed under: uncultured bacterium
Lineage: Bacteria
Description: partial 16S ribosomal RNA
Rfam family: Bacterial small subunit ribosomal RNA
Source: RNAcentral
UACGGAGGAUCCAAGCGUUAUCCGGAAUCAUUGGGUUUAAAGGGUCCGUAGGCGGUUUUGUAAGUCAGUGGUGAAAGCCCAACGCUCAACGGUGGAACGGCCAUUGAUACUGCAAGACUUGAAUUAUUAGGAAGUAACUAGAAUAUGUAGUGUAGCGGUGAAAUGCUUAGAGAUUACAUGGAAUACCAAUUGCGAAGGCAGGUUACUACUAGUGGAUUGACGCUGAUGGACGAAAGCGUGGGGAGCGAACAGG